Molecule: ribosomal RNA, 236 nt
Filed under: uncultured bacterium
Lineage: Bacteria
Description: partial 16S ribosomal RNA
Rfam family: Bacterial small subunit ribosomal RNA
Source: RNAcentral
UACGUAGGGUGCAAGCGUUGUCCGGAAUUAUUGGGCGUAAAGAGCUCGUAGGUGGCCUGUCGCGUCGGCUGUGAAAACUCGGGGCUCAACUCCGAGCUUGCAGUCGAUACGGGCAGGCUAGAGUUCGGCAGGGGAGACUGGAAUUCCUGGUGUAGCGGUGAAAUGCGCAGAUAUCAGGAGGAACACCGGUGGCGAAGGCGGGUCUCUGGGCCGAAGUGACUGACACUGGAGGAGCG